Molecule: RNA transcript, 2547 nt
Organism: Brienomyrus brachyistius
Lineage: Eukaryota; Metazoa; Chordata; Actinopteri; Osteoglossiformes; Mormyridae
Gene name: polymeric immunoglobulin receptor-like
Exons: 4
Source: RefSeq, a predicted model, not a curated record
UUCACAGGCAGGAGCCGGCUCCGAUCGUUCAUUUCAAAGAGCCGGCACCGAGAGCCGUUUCGUUCGCGACCGACACAUCACUACAAGCCAGCCGACCCACAGCGGCGAGCUUAGACCUGCGGGGAAACAAAGCCAAACAACCCCGGAACGACACUGUCUUUGCCGUAACCCGAAUGGCUACCGUCUUACGCCUCGCCAGUUAGGAACUUCCCCUUACUUCCGGGUCCUAAGCCUAAUAUCCCGUGCCGCUCCUUCGCCUCCCCACAGCCGUCAUCUGCGUCGCAUUCCCACUGCUCCUACCUCCCCAGACGCUACGGCUGCGCGCUCGCCGUCCCUCUAUUGAUACCGCGGACCCGUGACUUGUAGCCUGGUACCUCGGCUCACUCACGUCCGCUCUCCGCUUGGGAAAGCACGCAUCGCCCCACUGACGCGUUUUUAAAAACCGCCGAAAUUACCUUCCGUCCCCGGACCGCGCUCCUGAUCACUUGAUGUGGCCGUUUUUAAAACCCGGUCAAGUCUCUGCCUCCCGCCCCCCAAUCUAGCAAUCCCGCCCCUCAAUUGCCACCGGGGGACGCCGCAAGCUCCCCAAAGCUUUCGCGGCACUGCCGAAAGGAGAAGGAAGAAAAAAAACAAACCAUAACCAAACCCAUAAAUCAGAAUUCCCCCUUCCCCUCACCGGGGACACAACACUAACACAAACACAGAAUGAGAAAAAUAUUUUAAAACAUUGUUUAUAUAGAACAGAUUCCCCAGAGCUGUCAGUGGACAAACAGGAGGUGACGGGUGUGGAAGGAGACAGUGUCACUGUUCAGUGUCGCUAUACAUACGAUUAUGGUCAGAGGCUGUGGUGUAAGUUUGGGAGCUUCUGUGUAUCAGAGGGAUCUGUGAGUUUGGAUGGGAGGCCUGUCCUGAUCAGGGAUGACAGAGUAAAUAAAGUCUUCAGUGUGACAAUGAGGGCACUGGAGAGGAAGGACACUGGCUGGUAUUGGUGUGAUGAUGAAUCCCAUCAGAUCCCAGUUCAUAUUACUGUCAGUCAGACAGCUACAACCACAACCAGCACUGAACAUGGAGGGAAUAAUGAUAAACUGAGGUGGGAGCAGGUUCUGGGUGCUGUACUGAAAGCUGGGACUGGUGUGUUUUAUCUGAUUUGCACCAUCAUCGCCAUUCAGCUGCACUGGAGCUCCUGUAGAAAGAGGGGAUCCAAUCAGAGAGAAGCAGAGGGAGGGGCCAAUAUAAAGCAUGGGUCUGAAUAAAUAUACAAGCUUAUUAAUACACUAAUGUACAUUAGUGUAACUAAAUGAACAAACUUCAAGGCUGUAUGGUCUAGUGGGGACCUUUGCAGCCACUGAAUUGUACUGCUGAUGGCCACUUCUUCGCAAGAUCUUUUCUGCCAACUGUUGGUUAAAUUCAGAAUUUUGUCUUUCAUUAUGUUCAGCAUUCACUUUGCUGUCUCAACACAUAGUAGCAGCAUCUAAAAAUAACUUAAUAGUGAAAUAAGUGAACCUUAUUGCUCAUUAAUUCUGAAAUAUAAUUUUUUUUUCUGAUGUUUUUGAUAAAUGCUUUAUUGUACAUGUUGUAUUUUGCUGGUAUUGGUAAUUAUUAAAAAUGUAGAAUUUUUAAAACUAAAAGUAAAUGGUAUGUGGUUUUCAGGUCACGCCUCCCCAUCAGAGUCCAACAAUCAGUGACCCUCCCAGAGUGUGAUGUAAUGGACCAAAAAACCAGGACCGCCUACUUUGCCCUUAAAACACAGCAGCUUGUUUCAGCUGUCAGCAGCCCAUACAUAUCAGAUAAGGUGGAACAAAUGAUGUGUCAAAAAUAAAAAGAUAACAUGCACCUGUUGGUCAAAAUGAAAUGCAAACAUCCUUGCCUGAUAUAUUAUAUAUUGGUUUGUGGUUUAGCUCCCAUUAAAUGACAGUAAGUCGAACUGCUGUCUGUGGUCCUGAAAACCUGGAUCCUCAAAUUUCACAUUACAUUUCUUUAGCUGACUUAACUGUAACUCUUUUAUUCUGUUGGCAAUUUUGCUCUGUUAAGUAUAGAGAGGCAGGGAUAGAAGGGAUUACAGUGGGUUACAGGUAUAUUAAAUGAGUAAUUUUUAAUUAAGAACCAAAAGACUUUGGACAGUCAAAUCAGCUUUGGGCAGUUUAAGAUCAAAAUUAUGAUUCACUAUAUUGAUCCUGGGGGAAGUUCUGGUGCAGACAGCAGCAGGAAAAUAAUGCACAGAGGAAGAUACAUAUGAACUUGCCCAAGUGAGAGCUGAGAAAUACAGAUCAGCUCAGCAUCCGCCUAGGCACCAGCCCAAUGCCAAACCAUGAGUCCUAGUUCACCACAAAUCAAUGUUUCUGUAUCUUGAUUUAGAAACCAUGCUGGUCUAUGCUGUUGUUUUCAGAAACCCAUGCUGAAUGUCCAAGGCAAUGAUGUUUCUCAAUCUUUUUUACAAAAUCCUGUAGUGACGCCUUUAAUAUUUAUUUUAAUGACAUCAGAUUCAUUUUACAGACUGCUUGUGAUCGAUCUCCACUAGCCCCAGAUGGAAUAGUCUGAAUUUGGAUC